Molecule: ribosomal RNA, 253 nt
Filed under: uncultured bacterium
Lineage: Bacteria
Description: partial 16S ribosomal RNA
Rfam family: Bacterial small subunit ribosomal RNA
Source: RNAcentral
UACGUAGGAGGCGAGCGUUGUCCGGAUUUAUUGGGCGUAAAGAGCGUGUAGGCGGUUCGGUAGGUCCGUUGUGAAAACUCGAGGCUCAACCUCGAGACGCCGAUGGAAACCAUCGAACUAGAGUCCGGAAGAGGAGAGUGGAAUUCCUGGUGUAGCGGUGAAAUGCGCAGAUAUCAGGAAGAACACCCGUGGCUAAGGCGGCUCUCUAGUACGGUACUGACGCUGAGACGCGAAAGCGUGGGGAGCGAACAGG